This 203-nucleotide long non-coding RNA is filed under the name Lathyrus oleraceus (garden pea). Its description in RNAcentral is "Pisum sativum (pea) long non-coding RNA (PSAT_LNC007021)". Lineage: Eukaryota; Viridiplantae; Streptophyta; Magnoliopsida; Fabales; Fabaceae. The record is from RNAcentral.
AAAAAUAUAAGUGAUCCAGUAAUUAAGAGCCCAUGGAUAACCAUGGAUACAAAGGGUGCUAAUACCUUCCCUUUGUAUAAUGUACCUCCCGAACCCAAAAUCUAUUGAGGUAUGAGGUCUUUCCUGUUCUUUUCCACCUUUCCUUAUUGGAUAAAAGAAAAGUCGGUGGCGACUCUUGCUAUCCGCGACAUUGCGAUAAAAAG